AACGCACAUUGCGCCCGCCAGUAUUCUGGCGGGCAUGCCUGUUCGAGCGUCAUUUCAACCCUCAAGCACAGCUUGGUGUUGGGACUCGCGUUAAUUCGCGUUCCUCAAAUUGAUUGGCGGUCACGUCGAGCUUCCAUAGCGUAGUAGUAAAACCCUCGUUACUGGUAAUCGUCGCGGCCACGCCGUUAAACCCCAACUUCUGAAUGUUGACCUCGGAUCAGGUAGGAAUACCCGCUGAACUUAA
RNAcentral lists this unclassified non-coding RNA (244 nucleotides) under Fusarium sp. Its description in RNAcentral is "partial contains 5.8S ribosomal RNA, internal transcribed spacer 2, and large subunit ribosomal RNA". The stretch from base 1 to 52 matches the Rfam family "5.8S ribosomal RNA", at positions 103 to 154 of the family's 154-position model. Lineage: Eukaryota; Fungi; Ascomycota; Sordariomycetes; Hypocreales; Nectriaceae. RNAcentral also lists the same sequence under 5 other names. The record is from RNAcentral.